AGGGGUUUAGUUUAAAGGUAAAACUGUUAUAUAUAUAUAUAUAUACAAUGUAGGUUCAAAUCCAACAGCUCCUU
This 74-nucleotide transfer RNA is filed under the name Talaromyces islandicus. RNAcentral describes it as "Penicillium islandicum tRNA". It matches the Rfam family "tRNA". From Rfam's summary of the family: Transfer RNA (tRNA) molecules are approximately 80 nucleotides in length. Their secondary structure includes four short double-helical elements and three loops (D, anti-codon, and T loops). RNAcentral also lists the same sequence under 1 other name. Lineage: Eukaryota; Fungi; Ascomycota; Eurotiomycetes; Eurotiales; Trichocomaceae. The record is from Rfam by way of RNAcentral.